GUGGGUGAGAGCACGUGUGGGGCCGGGAGCCAGGACUCCUGGGCUUUCUCCCCAGCUGUGGGAUGGGAGUGGGGUCUACUGGGUUAAAGCAGGGGGGCAGAAAGUCAGGACUGCUUGUGUUUUCUCCCCAGCUGUGGAAGUGGGGUGGGGCCUAGUACCCCAGAGCAGGGGGAUAAACUAGAUCUCUUUAUUUUUUGUAAAUUAAAAUCAAAAUCUCAGAGCCAGCUAACAAGCUGCCUCGGCUAACAUGUGAUAUCGAACUAGCUGGGGCUGAAAUUUGCCCUGUGCAAUGCGAUCCCCAGGCCUCAUUCACAGAGGGCCCUUUCAAAGGGCCCUGUGGGAGACGGAUGCCCAUUUCCCUUUGGAAACGGCCCCGCUGCCUCUUAGAGAUCAUCGUUAUUAGCUCUAUGGUGGCGACAGCAGCAGCUGAGUUGGGGCCCUGUGGCAGUGCACCUAGGCAAGAGCUUAGCUGAAACAGGCAAAAUAUGGGAGGGGAAACUGAGGCACAGAGAGGGCGUGUGACAUGCCCAAGGUCACCCAGCUGGCAGUGGCAGAGCCGGGAAUAGAACCCAGGUUUCCUGAGUCACGGUCGACUAGGCAACACUGCCCCUUACCAGAACCUCUGUGGGAUUUACUGGCAAUGCUUAGGCUGGCUCUGUGGAGUGCUCAACUCUGGGGUGGUCUUGUCCAUUUUGCGCUGCCCUCCGUGUCCUUGCUGAGCCUCGGCUGGCAGAGAGCGAGAAGCACGUUCCACAGGCUCUUUGCCCUGCUUUUUAUUCCAGUUUGUACUGAUCAAAGGGGAAAAACUCCAAAUGAAAGUCAUCUUCCAGUGGGGUUCUUCGCGGGGAAAUAAAUUGCUCUUUUGUGUCUGCACAGCGGCAAACAGGUUAUCGUCUGACUGCAGCUCCCAGAUGCUCGUGCAACAGAAAUAAAGAAUCCUAUUCUCUGAGCUGCUUUUCUGUUCUAAAGUUUUCCGUUAAUAAAGGGCGUAUUUACAAACUCA
Molecule: long non-coding RNA, 1003 nt
Organism: Chelonia mydas (Green sea turtle)
Lineage: Eukaryota; Metazoa; Chordata; Testudines; Cheloniidae
Exons: 3
Source: RefSeq, a predicted model, not a curated record